CAACUCCUGCGUUUUCAAAAUGGCAGACCCAAACAGAAUGCAAGAAGAUUGGCAAUCUCCAAAUUUUCGGUCAAAAAUUGUUAAUAAGCUGGAGGAUGUCAUGAGAAACAGUCAGACUCAGAUGCCUAAGUCAAGUGUGGAAAUGGAAGAGUAUGUUUUUCGUAAGGCAAGAACUAGAGAAGAAUACCUGGACUUGGUAGCUCGGGUGUUACUGUCUGUUGGAGACCACAAUUCUAAGGACAAGAAGAUGAAUUCAGGCAUUCCACCUAAUAUGGGUCAACCUGGAAUGAAUGUAAUGCGAGCUCAAGUUACUGAUCAGGAUCCUAUGAAUGCACUUCAGAGUUUAACAGUCCAAGGUGCUGGAGCUAUGGGUCGCCCAGCUGAUGGAUUCACUGCUCAAUAUGAUACUCUGGGUGAUCAGAUGACCAAUCAGAUGACCAAUCAGUACGAGUCUUUAGGGGGAAUGAUGCAUGGUAUGGGAGGGAACAUACAGCAACCUAGAAUGAUGCAGAACAUCAGGGCACAGAUGGGACAGCGGCCACAAAAUUUGAUUCGUCAGGAUGCUUUCAUAGUGACAUCUUCCCAGGCAAUGCAAGGGCAAGCACAUGCCAUGUCAGUCUCCAGUCCAGGAAUGACAUAUUCUGCUGGUCCAAUCAGGCAAAUGCAAGGUCAAGGUCAAUACUUACAACAGGGCCGGGACAUUGGAAUUUCUGGUAUGCCAGUGCAAUCACCAGCUCAGGGAUCUCCACUGACAAUGAUGUCCUCACCACAUAUGAUGCCUUCACCAGUUGUCAGGGGCCAGAUGGGUGUCCCAUCUCCUAAUACCAUGCUUCACACACCAGGCACUGCUGUGUCUGACCCCAGUCCUGGACCUCCCAGCACAUCACAAGAAGAGAUGGAAUAUGUCAAGAAAUUGGAAAAACUUUCCCGCUACAUUGAACCAUUGAGAAAAUUCGUUAUUGAUUCAGAAAAAAAAACAGAUGAAGAUAGCAAAAAGAACCAUAAAAAGAUGAAAAGUUUACUGGACAUACUGACCAAUCCAAAGAAAAGGGUACCAAUGGUUGUUCUUGAAAAGUGUGAGCAAGUUUUGCAAAAGCUGACAACCAGUUCCAGUGUGUCCAGUGCCCAUGGUCACAUGUGUCAACCUCUCUUGGAUGCAGUUGCCCAUUUCUCCACAGCCUCAUACCUCAAUCAUUCCCUUCACCGCACCUUUGGUCCAGCUCUGGAGGCUUACAUGGGGCCAGCCAUUAAAGCUCCAAGCCCACCCCUUACCAAAAAGAGGGUUAGAGAAGAUGAGAUUCCAGAUAUUCUUCAAGGUGAGAUAGCCAGGCUAGAGCGAAGGUUCUGUGUCUCUCUAGACAGCAGAUACCACCCUGGCUCUGAGUGCCACCACCUGGUCUGUAAACUGGACGAGCACCAGUUGCCCAGUGUACCGCCCCUACUGGUCACCAUCCCAAGGACAUAUCCCAAGUCAAGUCCCAGGUGUGACCCGAGCUCAUGCCCUGGCUAUGAUGCCACUGAAUUCUUCCAAAACGUGGAAAAGAAUUUGGCUGUUCAUCUGUCCAAUAUGCCCAACCGUUUCUGCCUGACGCAGUUGUUAAGUUCCUGGGAGAUGAGUGUAAGAAAAGCGUGCGACCCCGUCAACCCUCUCAUUGCCCAGGUCAAUCCGACCUUCGUCUAGACAAGCAACGGACGUUCCAGAACCUGUCCAGCAAUCAUUGAACCAUAAUGUCCAACAAUCAUUGAACCAUAAUGCUGUCCAGCAAUCAUUGAACCAUAAUGUCCAACAAUCAUUGAACCAUAAUGCUGUCCAGCAAUCAUUGAACCAUAAUGCUGUCCAGCAAUCAUUGAACCAUAAUGCUGUCCAACAAUCAUUGAACCAUAAUGUCCAACAAUCAUUGAACCAUAAUGCUGUCCAGCAAUCAUUGAACCAUAAUGUCCAACAAUCAUUGAACCAUAAUGUCUUUUUUUGACAAAUAAAAAUAUCGUUUCUGUUU
This is an RNA transcript of Physella acuta, 1997 nucleotides long. It is a transcript of the gene named mediator of RNA polymerase II transcription subunit 15, with no coding region annotated. NCBI's taxonomy places the organism in Eukaryota, Metazoa, Mollusca, Gastropoda, Physidae. The record is from RefSeq and is a predicted model, not a curated record.